Molecule: ribosomal RNA, 185 nt
Filed under: Salmonella enterica subsp. enterica serovar Montevideo
Lineage: Bacteria; Pseudomonadati; Pseudomonadota; Gammaproteobacteria; Enterobacterales; Enterobacteriaceae
Also listed under: 1 other name
Description: partial 23S ribosomal RNA
Rfam family: Bacterial large subunit ribosomal RNA
Source: RNAcentral
GAAGAGAUAAGUGCUGAAAGCAUCUAAGCACGAAACUUGCCCCGAGAUGAGUUCUCCCUGAGACUUUAGGUCUCCUGAAGGAACGUUGAAGACGACGACGUUGAUAGGCCGGGUGUGUAAGCGCAGCGAUGCGUUGAGCUAACCGGUACUAAUGAACCGUGAGGCUUAACCUUACAACGCCGAAG